CAUGAAAACCGCAUUCCAGCCUCCUUGUCUCCCUAAGUCACUGGAUUUCUUCCAUUAUAUUAUAGAAGUGAUUUCUACCUCAACUUAACUUAAUUCAGGUAUAUGCAGGCACUCUGGGGUAGAAUUUCAGUGGUUAAACUCUCUCGUGUCUAUUGAAUUCUGGCUCCAUGAAAAUGUCAGGAACACCACCUCUUGAGGCAAAGUUGCCUAAACGAAUGAUGAAGGCAACUAAAGGUGAGGCUUGGAAGAGAAAUUAACAUCGAUCAGAGGAAAGUAAUGAAGCAAUAUCUUCUGCAAGCUCCAGAAGAUAAGGAAAGAAGGAAUAAAGG
Molecule: long non-coding RNA, 329 nt
Filed under: Equus asinus (donkey)
Lineage: Eukaryota; Metazoa; Chordata; Mammalia; Perissodactyla; Equidae
Description: lncRNA (ENSEASG00005032516.1)
Source: RNAcentral